Molecule: ribosomal RNA, 548 nt
Filed under: uncultured bacterium
Lineage: Bacteria
Description: bacterial SSU rRNA
Rfam family: Bacterial small subunit ribosomal RNA
Source: RNAcentral
GGGGAAUUUUGGACAAUGGGGGCAACCCUGAUCCAGCCAUGCCGCGUGUCUGAAGAAGGCCUUCGGGUUGUAAAGGACUUUUGUCCGGGAAGAAAAGCGCGAUGUUAAUACCAUUGCGUGCUGACGGUACCGGAAGAAUAAGCACCGGCUAACUACGUGCCAGCAGCCGCGGUAAUACGUAGGGUGCGAGCGUUAAUCGGAAUUACUGGGCGUAAAGCGGGCGCAGACGGUUACUUAAGCAGGAUGUGAAAUCCCCGGGCUCAACCUGGGAAUUGCGUUCUGAACUGGGUGGCUAGAGUGUGUCAGAGGGGGGUAGAAUUCCACGUGUAGCAGUGAAAUGCGUAGAGAUGUGGAGGAAUACCGAUGGCGAAGGCAGCCCCCUGGGAUAGCACUGACGUUCAUGCCCGAAAGCGUGGGUAGCAAACAGGAUUAGAUACCCUGGUAGUCCACGCCCUAAACGAUGUCGAUUAGCUGUUGGGCAACUUGAUUGCUUGGUAGCGAAGCUAACGCGUGAAAUCGACCGCCUGGGGAGUACGGUCGCAAGAUUA